GACGAACGCUGGCGGCGUGCUUAACACAUGCAAGUCGAACGGUUAAGCGCCUUCCUUUUUGGUGUGUGUGGAUGAGUGGCGAACUGGUGAGUAACACGUUAGUAACCUGCCCCCUUCUUCUGGAUAACCGCGUGAAAGUUUGGCUAAUACUGGAGAUUCUGGGUCUGUCGCAUGAUGGGUCUGGGAGAGAUAUUGUUUCGGUGGGGGAUGUGCGCGCGUCCUAGCAGGUUGUUGGUGGGGUGAUGGCCUACCAAGGCGGUGACGGGUAGCCGGCCUGAGAGGGUGGACGGUAACACUGGGACUGAGCCACGGCGCAGACUACUACGGGCGGCAGCAGUGGGGAAUAGUGCACAAUGGGAGCAAGGCUGAUGCAGCGACGCCGCGGGAGGGAUGGAGGCCUUCGGGUUGUGAACCUCUUUCGCGAGUGAAGCAGGCCUGCCUAGUUUGUGGGUGGGUUGACGGUAGCUGGAUAAGAAGCGCCGGCUAACUACGUG
This 494-nucleotide ribosomal RNA is filed under the name uncultured bacterium. RNAcentral describes it as "partial 16S ribosomal RNA". It matches the Rfam family "Bacterial small subunit ribosomal RNA", at positions 28 to 507 of the family's 1533-position model. The record is from RNAcentral.